AGUGAACGCUGGCGGCAUGCCUAACACAUGCAAGUCGAACGGCAGCACGGGAACUGGUUGCUCUUACGGGGUGGGAGUGGGGGACGGAAGAGAUAUACACCGGAACCUACGUUGUGAUGGGGGCUAACGAAGGGGAAUUAAUACUAAUACCGCACACGACAUAAAGGUGAAAGCCCGGGAUCUUUGGACCUUUCGCGAUGGCCUGAGCCGAUGUCGCAUUAGCUAGUUGGCGGGGUAAAGGCCGACCAAGGCGACGAUCCGUAGCUGGUCUGAGAGGAUGAUCAGCCACACUGGAACUGAGACACGGCCCAGACUCCUACGGGAGGCAGCAGUGGGGAAUAUUGGACAAUGGGCGAAAGCCUGAUCCAGCAAUACCGCGUGUGUGAAGAGGGCCUUCGGGUUGUAAAGCCCUUUUGUCCGGAAAGAAAUGCAGCAGCCUAAUACCGCGCUGUUAUGACGGUACCGAAAGAAUAAGCACCGGCUAACUACGUG
Molecule: ribosomal RNA, 492 nt
Filed under: uncultured bacterium
Lineage: Bacteria
Description: partial 16S ribosomal RNA
Rfam family: Bacterial small subunit ribosomal RNA
Source: RNAcentral